UAUUAAUUAUUAGUUUUGUUUAUUAUAUAAAUAUUAAAAAUAAUUUUAAUUUUUUUUUGUUAAAGUAUUUUUUAAAGAAUUAAUAAUUUUAAUAAUAGUUUAUUAGUACUGUUAAGGAAAAUUGAAAUAUAUUGAAAAAUUAAUAUUUUUAAAGAAAAUUUUAUUUAUUGUACCUUGUGUAUCAGGGUUUAUUAAAUAGUUAAUAAUUAUUUAUUUUUCUCGAUUUUAAAAGAGCUAAUAAAUUAUAAUAGUUUAUGUUUCAUAAUAAUUAUAAAUAAUUUAUUAGAAAUGAAAUGUUAUUCGUUUUUAAAGGUAUCUAGUUUCUUAAGAAACAAAUUUAAUUUGGGGUUUAAAAUAUAAAUUAUUUAAUUUUUAAUUAAUUUAUUUUUAAAUACUAAUAGUUUACGGGAUUAGCUGUUUACUAAAAUUCUAAAAAUUAAUUUUUUUAAUAAUUAAUUAUAUGCUUAUAAUUAGCAAUUAAUGGUAAAUUUGUUAUAAAUUAUAUUUAAAUUAAAUUAUUUAUUGUAUUUUAGAAAUUUAUUAAGACAUAAAUUUUAAUAAUAAAAAUUUAAAGAUAAUGAUAAAAUUAGUAUAUAAGUUUGUUUAAUAAUUUUGUAUUGUUAGGUUUAAUUUAAGAACUCGGCAAAUUUAAAUAUCUGCCUGUUUAACAAAAACAUGUCUUUUAGAAAUUAAUUUAAAGUCUGACCUGCCCAUUGAAUAAUUUUAAAAGGCCGCAGUAUAUUAACUGUGCAAAGGUAGCAUAAUCAUUAGUCUUUUAAUUGAAGGCUUGAAUGAAUGGUUGGACAAGAUAUAAACUGUUUUAUUUAAAUUUAUAUAAAACUUUAUUUUUUAGUAAAAAAGCUAAAAUUUUAUUAAAAGACGAGAAGACCCUAUAGAUCUUUAUAUUUAUAAUUAUUGAAAUUAUAAAGGAGAUUUUUAUUUUAAUAAUUAAUAUAUUUUGUUGGGGAGACAACAAGAUUUUUUUAACUCUUGUAUAAAAUAAACAAUUAUUUUUGAUUAUUUGAUCCAUUAUUAUUGAUUAAAAAAUUAAGUUACCUUAGGGAUAACAGCGUAAUUUUUUUGGAGAGUUCAUAUCGAUAAAAAAGUUUGCGACCUCGAUGUUGGAUUAAGAUAUAUAAUUAGGUGCAGAAUUUUAAUUAUUAAGUCUGUUCGACUUUAGUUUCUUACAUGAUCUGAGUUCAAACCGGCGUGAGCCAGGUUGGUUUCUAUCUUUAAUUUUAUAUUAUAUUUUAGUACGAAAGGGCCAAAUAUAAAAAAUAAUUUUUUUAAGUGAAUAAAAUUAAU
Molecule: ribosomal RNA, 1305 nt
Filed under: Leptogaster cylindrica
Lineage: Eukaryota; Metazoa; Arthropoda; Insecta; Diptera; Asilidae
Description: 16S ribosomal RNA
Source: RNAcentral